This 459-nucleotide ribosomal RNA is filed under the name uncultured bacterium. Its description in RNAcentral is "partial 16S ribosomal RNA". It matches the Rfam family "Bacterial small subunit ribosomal RNA", at positions 338 to 795 of the family's 1533-position model. The record is from RNAcentral.
CCUACGGGAGGCAGCAGUGAGGAAUAUUGGUCAAUGGGCGCGAGCCUGAACCAGCCAAGUCGCGUGAGGGAAGACGGUCCUAUGGAUUGUAAACCUCUUUUGUCGGGGAGCAAAAGACGCCACGCGUGGCGUUCCGAGAGUACCCGAAGAAAAAGCAUCGGCUAACUCCGUGCCAGCAGCCGCGGUAAUACGGAGGAUGCGAGCGUUAUCCGGAUUUAUUGGGUUUAAAGGGUGCGCAGGCGGAAGAUAAAGUCAGCGGGAAAAUUGAGAGGCUCAACCUCUUCGAGCCGUUGAAACUGGUUUUCUUGAGUGAGCGAGAAGUAGGCGGAAUGCGUGGUGUAGCGGUGAAAUGCAUAGAUAUCACGCAGAACUCCGAUUGCGAAGGCAGCAUACCGGCGCUCAACUGACGCUCAUGCACGAAAGUGUGGGUAUCGAACAGGAUUAGAUACCCCUGUAGUC